AGUGAACGCUGGCGGUAGGCCUAACACAUGCAAGUCGAACGGCAGCACAGUAAGAGCUUGCUCUUACGGGUGGCGAGUGGCGGACGGGUGAGGAAUACAUCGGAAUCUACUUUUUCGUGGGGGAUAACGUAGGGAAACUUACGCUAAUACCGCAUACGCCCUACGGGUGAAAGCAGGGGAUCUUCGGACCUUGCGCGAUUGAAUGAGCCGAUGUCGGAUUAGCUAGUUGGCGGGGUAAAGGCCCACCAAGGCGACGAUCCGUAGCUGGUCUGAGAGGAUGGUCAGCCACACUGGAACUGAGACACGGUCCAGACGCCUACGGGAGGCAGCAGUGGGGAAUAUUGGACAAUGGGCGCAAGCCUGAUCCAGCCAUACCGCGUGGGUGAAGAAGGCCUUCGGGUUGUAAAGCCCUUUUGUUGGGAAAGAAAAGCAGCAGGUUAAUACCCCGCUGUUCUGACGGUACCCAAAGAAUAAGCACCGGCUAACUUCGUG
Molecule: ribosomal RNA, 492 nt
Filed under: uncultured bacterium
Lineage: Bacteria
Description: partial 16S ribosomal RNA
Rfam family: Bacterial small subunit ribosomal RNA
Source: RNAcentral